CUCAAACCCAAGUCGACUGACAGCAGCCAAGAAACAGUUCGGACUUUUUCGCGUUGGUUUAGAAGCAGAUGGCACUCGCGUCCACCUCACAUGGUCGACGUAAAUACGUCACGUGAAGCUCAUAGAGCCGCUUUCCAACCAAUCGCAGGACGAUGAGGAACAUGACUUUUGGGCAACUGUCGUCUAUGGCUUCCAUUUGACACCCGUCAAACCUCGCGCUUCAUCUGGAAGGCACGGCGGCGUCGCGCUCCGUCGGUCACGGACGGGAAAGUGUUGCGAGUGCCGGCGGGCGGCAGGACCGGACGGACGGACCGUUCCGGUGCGUGUGCCGCCUCUGAAGCUGCUCCAACAUGAUUGGCUGCUGACCAGGAAGAAGCAGCGCGAAAUAUGCCCCCCCCCAACAUGAUUGGCUGCUGACCAGGAAGAAGCAGCGCGCGUUCUGCCCACCCCACCCAUUGUGCACGUUUGACUGGGGGCCAGCUUGCUGAGCUAAAGCGACGUGGCGGCCAUGUUGGCGGGUGCAAUCGCGUUGCCAUCAAUGGCAAUGCUUGACUAGUCGCCGCGGCGUUUUUAGAGAACACCGGAGCGGCUGUGCAUCAUUCUGCUGCCAUUCGAAGCGUCCUGUGAAGCAGACAGACAAGGUCACCGUCACCGCCGGUAGCAUGAGGCGGUAGCUGGACCCUACACAAGUGGCUUGAGGACGGCACUGCUUUGUGCAGAGGAGGAACAGGAUCGGCAUUGCCGGAAGCCCACAACCCUCACGCGGCAGGGUUGUGCGGGCAGUACCUCCGGGAGGAAGGAACUGGUACUAAUGACCGGGCCCCAAGGUCACCUGACCUCAAUCACGUAGACCGCCUGUGCGGUAUGAGGUUCCGGUCCAUCCUCCGCCGCUGCCAAAUUGCACCUCCGACCGCCCAGGAGCUCAGUGAUGCCCUGCUCCACAUCUGGGAGGACAACAUCCGUCGUCUCAUGACGAGACGAGCACGUGGGAGCCACGCAAACCACUGAGUCCGUUUUGAAGUUGCUGGAAGGAAAUUUCAGCAACAUGAACAGACGCGCAAAGUUCAUGUUUACAUUGGGGUCUUUUGAGCGGGUCAAAACGCAAAUUCACACAAGCGCGUUUUGAGUCCUGCAACGUGACUUGCAUGUUUUUGUGAACGUCGACGAUCGCGUGCCUCAAAUUUCACACAUUCAACGUGAGCGGCGCUACUUUCAUGAACGACAAAGGCAAACAAGAAGCACACGACCAAGGACCUCCAUCCAGUCUCCAAAACGCUUCUCCGUGUUUUAUUCGGUUUAGGGCCAAUCACACAAGCGCACGCACGUGCACACACACCAAUAAAAUAAGCAUUAAGUCAUCCCGGGUGAGUUGAAAAUUAUGUGUUGAAUUUACAAUAAAAUAUUUGUCAGC
Hippocampus comes (tiger tail seahorse) is the source of this 1411-nucleotide long non-coding RNA. RefSeq lists it as uncharacterized. The record is from RefSeq and is a predicted model, not a curated record. The transcript has 2 exons. NCBI's taxonomy places the organism in Eukaryota, Metazoa, Chordata, Actinopteri, Syngnathiformes, Syngnathidae.